RNAcentral lists this ribosomal RNA (253 nucleotides) under uncultured bacterium. RNAcentral's name for it is "partial 16S ribosomal RNA". It matches the Rfam family "Bacterial small subunit ribosomal RNA", at positions 524 to 776 of the family's 1533-position model. The record is from RNAcentral.
UACGUAGGGUGCGAGCGUUAAUCGGAAUUACUGGGCGUAAAGCGUGCGCAGGCGGUUUUGUAAGCCAGAUGUGAAAGCCCCGGGCUUAACCUGGGAAUGGCAUUUGGGACUGCAAGGCUUGAGUGCGGCAGAGGAGACUGGAAUUCCUGGUGUAGCAGUGAAAUGCGUAGAUAUCAGGAGGAAUACCGAUGGCGAAGGCAGGUCCCUGGGCCAAUACUGACGCUCAUGCACGAAAGCGUGGGGAGCAAACAGG